Molecule: long non-coding RNA, 3447 nt
Filed under: Fragaria vesca (wild strawberry)
Lineage: Eukaryota; Viridiplantae; Streptophyta; Magnoliopsida; Rosales; Rosaceae
Description: long non-coding RNA (FVES_LNC001061)
Source: RNAcentral
GGUGUUAGUGGUCAAGGUAUCAAAAUGCUAACGGAAUGAAACUUCUGGUAUGAAAAUGCAAGUUUUUGAUAGUUAGGUAUGAAAAUGAAAAUAGCAUCAUAAUUCGGGUGGUGUUUUGUAAUUAAUCCGAGAAGUAAAAUACAUUUCUACUGAAAAGGAUAUGCCUGAUAGUCUGAUACUUGGGAUCAUUUCUUCAAAGGUUGCCAACUUGCCAUGCCCUGAAAAUCUGGAAUGAUAUAGACAAAACACCUGAUAUCACUUUGCACACUUUCUGUAAGCUUUAAAUCAUAUUCAUGGCUGAUGCCCAAUUUCAAGUCGUUUGAUCAAACUCACUACCAUUAAAGAUGCAUGUCAUGUGAUAUCUUGAUGCUUUAAUUAGUGGCACUUUGUUCCCCACACCAUCCACAAGCCUAGGAACUUCUUACAAACACUUAACAGUUGCUGAUUUUCUUGAAGUACUAAUUUUAGGCGUAGAACGCUAGAGAAAGAAAAACAUAGUGCAAGAAAAAUCCUUGUAUGAAAGUCAAAUCAUCCUUUUUUUGAAGCAAGCUUCUCCUCGCAGCUCCGUGUUCUUCAACAAGCAUUUCGUGUAUGGGAACCUGCUGCUUAAGAGAACUGCUCUAGUUGAUCGUAUCCAUGAUCACUUCAAGCGUAAUAUAUUGAAUCUUAGUGUACAAAAUAUGCGAAUAGCAUUUGCAGUCCUGCAUACGUCUCUCGUGUCGUCCUUCACCCUUACUUCUUUCAGCUUCAAAAGUUAAUGUGAUAUGGCAACCGGUGAAGGUUCAAAGUUCAAACAUGAUGUAAACCACAAAUGAACAAGGAACAUUGAAACUGAAAAGUUCAAUUUCAGACCUUCGUCCUCCUGGAAAUAGGUGUGACAAACAUAAUACACAAAGAUGGUUUGACCAUUAGCCUAAGAUACUACUACUUUAGCCCAACUUUGAUAUGUACUAAAAAUUACUGAAAAGUGAAAACUAUCUGUACACUAGGAAAAAAUGGGAAGGAUGUAGUGAAGCAACAAACUACUUCACAGAAUCAUCUCUUCUUGCAUUUUAUCCACGACAUAAGAAAAAAGCCAAGAAUGAAUUGCCUCGUCAACAGAUGUUGUUGGGGGGGGGGGGGGGUCGAGUCACGCUUCUCUCGAAGGAGUCGAAGCCGUCACUCCGGCAUCCGCCUCCCNUGGAUUCACUGGAUGGCAAGACGCCUACUGUGAACCCUGUAUUUGAUGAUAUACUUCCCCGUGCUGGCCCAUACAUCUCCNNNNNNNNNNNNNNNNNNNNGGGGGGGGGGGGGCGAUCACGCCUUCUCUCGAAGGAGUCGAAGCCUCACUCCCGGCAUCCGCCUCCCAUGGAUUUCACUGGAUGGCAAGACGCCUCUGUGAACCCUGAUUUGAUGAUAUACUUCCCCGUUGCUGGCCCAUACAAUCUCCUUCAUCACCUCUUUUUCCCGAAUACGUACGAUACAAUGAAGCCUGCAAGCCACCAUGAGUCUGGUAGCAGCCACUACCAUUUACAUAAUUGUUAGUGGCAUAUGCAUCAUGGACUUGGGGUCGACUAGCUUCUUGUUGACUGAUGGAAGAAUUCCAUGUUUCUGCAGAAUCUGAGGGCAAGGGUUCCGAGCCUGAUGAACUGGCAGACUGUGAUGAAUGUGAUGCCUUUUCUUGGCCACCGGUCUUUAAAGUAUCACCAUUUGUCUUCUUUGCAAAACGUCCUCCAGUACCUCUUGCCCUUCUCAUAGCAUGUUGAUGUCGUGAUUCGUGAAGAUAUGGCUGUAGAAAGUGACAUUUCAUAUAUCAACAACUCAAUCAACUGCAAACACACACUCAUAUUCACAGCCAUAUUAACACCAACAAAUUGCCCAAAAUAAGAAUGCCAUAUUAUACACAGUACAGUCUCAAUCUUUUAUAUCAAUUUCAAGAGUGAGAGAUAGCAAAAUAUAUUUAUAUACACUACAUAUCAGUCAUCACACCCUCAAAAUUCAAAUCUCCAUAUGAUUAUCCUGACCAUCGCAAAAUAAACCUAUAGUUAUUGCAAAAUCACUGAAUAUGCUUAUUUACAUAUAUAACAGAACCAACAAGACUGAAUGAAUUGAAAUCUGAUAGGUACAAGAGUUCAUUCCACAAUUCUCGCCUUUCAAAUAACACAAGCAGGACCACUUGCAAUGAAAAGAAAAAAAAGACCGAGACACAGGAUUAAAUCAUUAAAACAUAGAAUAAAAUUACCUCAUUGAGAAAUAGACUACAAAUUUCGUUUACUUAAUCCAAAGAGUCAUGUAGCAGUUUAUUUUUAGGAUAAGUAGAAGAGUUGUGUAUCAGUUUUUACAGGUCUCAUACGAAACAUCAAAACUUUUUCAGACCCUAGUUUACAGUCAACAUCAAUUGGUGCAAUUCAUGAUAGAGAGCAAGUGUGUCAGUGCAGUCAAAUUUUUUACCUUUCUGACUUUAAUUAGCUUCUUUUCAAGUUCUGCUUUUGCACGUGCCUGUCUUCGCCGUAGAAUUCCUUGGUAUUGUUUUGCAUUGACAUAUACAGGCUCCUGUGCCAUCUCUAGGGGCAAAGGCAUUCUAGCAUGUGGCAUUCCAACAAAAGGAGGAUAACCCUGAGCAAUAGAGAUAGCAUUAGAUAUUGAAAGAUUUAGAAUUUGCAGCUUUCAAAUCCACCUUUUAUAGCAAAAAUCAUUACUAAUUACUGUUACUGUCACCCACCACCAGAAUGAUGUAGCACAACAGAAAAAUACGGUUAGGCUUCAGAUGGUGGGACAUUUCGUACUUAAAAGACAGAGAGAAAAUGAAAAGAUAAAAAAUAAAAUAAAAACACUUUUGUUGUGGCAAGGACGACACAACAUCAAACAGAAAAAGAUAUAAAAGGGGCCAAACCUAUCAACAACACUACACUUUCACUCAUCCAUUUUUUUUAUUUGCUUUAUGAGAGCUGGCCUGAUUUAUAUGAUUCACAUAAGACUCUGGUAGACUGCUAGAAAUGUCAAGCCUCUCAUUGAACCAAACAAGGGUCUUCUAUAUUCAUUAAUUAAUGGCAAACGUCAACACUAAACAUAGCUUUCUGAGACCCGACACCCCCCCCCCCCCCAAAAAAAAAACAACCCCUCUUUUUCCUGAAGAUAACAGUUUUCUCAUUUAUUGCGUUCUUGAUAACUCUUCCUACUGUUCAAUUUUUUUAUUAUAUAUUUUUUAUCAACCAAGUAUCCCCUUUCUUGAUAACUCUUCCGGAACUGCUCAAUUUUUUUAUUAACCAUGUCUCUUUUGGACAGAAAGGACUUACUUUUAGAGAUUUACAUUUGGGACAACAAUGAUAUAUGAGAAGACAUAUAGAAUGAGAAACUGCGACCUCUAACACACAUACCAUCUGGACUUCCUGGAUUAACAGUGAUCUUGAAAGGUGUUUGAGGGAAUAAAAACUAUAUCCUACAAUAUUUUUUUUCUAAUCAAACUAG